Molecule: ribosomal RNA, 460 nt
Filed under: uncultured bacterium
Lineage: Bacteria
Description: partial 16S ribosomal RNA
Rfam family: Bacterial small subunit ribosomal RNA
Source: RNAcentral
CCUACGGGCGGCAGCAGUGAGGAAUAUUGGUCAAUGGACGAGAGUCUGAACCAGCCCAGUAGCGUGAAGGAUGACUGCCCUAUGGGUUGUAAACUUCUUUUAUAAAGGAAUAAAACGCGGCACGUGUGCCUUUUUGCAUGUACUUUAUGAAUAAGGAUCGGCGAACUCCGUGCCAGCAGCCGCGGUAAUACGGAGGAUCCGAGCGUUAUCCGGAUUUAUUGGGUUUAAAGGGAGCGUAGAUGGGUUGUUAAGUCAGUUGUGAAAGUUUGCGGUUCAACCGUAACAUUGCGAUUGAUACUGGCAGUCGUGAGUACAGUAGAGGUAGGCGGAAUUCGUGGUGUAGCGGUGAAAUGCUUAGAUAUCACGAAGAACCCCGAUUGCGAAGGCAGCUUACUAAACUGUGACUGACAUUGAUGCUCGAAAGUGUGGGUAUCAAACAGGAUUAGAUACCCUUGUAGUC